AUACGGAUGGUGCGAGCGUUGUUCGGAAUUACUGGGCGUAAAGCGCGCGCAGGCGGUCUUUUAAGUUGGAUGUGAAAGCCUACGGCUCAACCGUAGAACUGCAUCCAAAACUAUUAGACUAGAGUGUGGGAGAGGAAGAUGGAAUUAGUUGUGUAGGGGUAAAAUCCGUAGAGAUACCUAGGAAUACCAAAAGCGAAGGCAAUCUUCUGGAACACUACUGACGCUGAGGCGCGAAAGCGCGGGGAGCAAACAGGAUUAGAUACCCUAGUAGUCC
Molecule: ribosomal RNA, 274 nt
Filed under: uncultured bacterium
Lineage: Bacteria
Description: partial 16S ribosomal RNA
Rfam family: Bacterial small subunit ribosomal RNA
Source: RNAcentral